GUUUUAAUAAUUUAAUAAAAAUAUUGGUCUUGUAAACCAAAAAUGAAAUAUAAUUCUUAAAACA
Molecule: transfer RNA, 64 nt
Filed under: Hermerius prionoides
Lineage: Eukaryota; Metazoa; Arthropoda; Insecta; Coleoptera; Cerambycidae
Description: tRNA-Thr
Rfam family: tRNA
About the family: Transfer RNA (tRNA) molecules are approximately 80 nucleotides in length. Their secondary structure includes four short double-helical elements and three loops (D, anti-codon, and T loops). Further hydrogen bonds mediate the characteristic L-shaped molecular structure. tRNAs have two regions of fundamental functional importance: the anti-codon, which is responsible for specific mRNA codon recognition, and the 3' end, to which the tRNAs corresponding amino acid is attached (by aminoacyl-tRNA synthetases). tRNAs cope with the degeneracy of the genetic code in two manners: having more than one tRNA (with a specific anti-codon) for a particular amino acid; and 'wobble' base-pairing, i.e. permitting non-standard base-pairing at the 3rd anti-codon position.
Source: RNAcentral